CACGUAGGGGGCAAGCGUUGUCUGGAUUUAUUGGGCGUAAAGAGCUCGUAGGCGGCUUAGUAAGUCGGGUGUGAAACCUCCAGGCUCAACCUGGAGACGCCACCCGAUACUGCUGUGGCUAGAGUCCGGUAGGGGAGCGUGGAAUUCCUGGUGUAGCGGUGGAAUGCGCAGAUAUCAGGAGGAACACCGAUGGCGAAGGCAGAUCUCUGGGCCGUUACUGACGCUGAGGAGCGAAAGCGUGGGGAGCGAACAGG
This 254-nucleotide ribosomal RNA is filed under the name uncultured bacterium. RNAcentral describes it as "partial 16S ribosomal RNA". It matches the Rfam family "Bacterial small subunit ribosomal RNA", at positions 524 to 776 of the family's 1533-position model. The record is from RNAcentral.